Molecule: ribosomal RNA, 264 nt
Filed under: uncultured bacterium
Lineage: Bacteria
Description: partial 16S ribosomal RNA
Rfam family: Bacterial small subunit ribosomal RNA
Source: RNAcentral
AUGAACGCUGGCGGCGUGCUUAACGCAUGCAAGUCGAACGAUUAAAGCUCACUUCGGUGAGUGUAUAGAGUGGCGAACGGGUGAGUAACACGUGGGAAACCUGCCCCUUUCUUCGGGAUAACUUCGGGAAACCGUUGCUAAUACCGGAUACUCCGGGAUGGUCGCAUGGCCGACCCGGGAAAGCUUUAUGUGGAAAGGGAUGGUCCCGCGGCCCAUUAGCUUGUUGGUGGGGUAAUGGCCUACCAAGGCGAUGAUGGGUAGCCG